Molecule: ribosomal RNA, 497 nt
Filed under: uncultured bacterium
Lineage: Bacteria
Description: partial 16S ribosomal RNA
Rfam family: Bacterial small subunit ribosomal RNA
Source: RNAcentral
GAUGAACGCUGGCGGCGUGCCUAAUACAUGCAAGUCGAGCGAACAGACGAGGAGCUUGCUCCUCUGACGUUAGCGGCGGACGGGUGAGUAACACGUGGAUAACCUACCUAUAAGACUGGGAUAACUUCGGGAAACCGGAGCUAAUACCGGAUAAUAUAUUGAACCGCAUGGUUCAAUAGUGAAAGACGGUUUUGCUGUCACUUAUAGAUGGAUCCGCGCCGCAUUAGCUAGUUGGUAAGGUAACGGCUUACCAAGGCAACGAUGCGUAGCCGACCUGAGAGGGUGAUUCGCCACACUUGAACCGAGACACCGUCCCAGAUUCCACGGGGAGCAAGAAUAAGGGAACCUCCCGCAUGGGGCGAAGGCCUGAGGGGGAAACGCCGGUGGAUGAUUGAGGGUUUCCGAAUCGUAAACCUUGUUUAUAGGGAAGAACAAAUGUGUAAGUAACUAUGCACGUCUUGACGGUACCUAAUCAGAAAGCCACGGCUAACUACGUG